GAGUCUUGGAGAGGGAGUGGAAUUCCAGGUGUAGCGGUGAAAUGCGUAGAUAUCUGGAGGAACAUCAGUGGCGAAGGCGACUCCCUGGCCAAAGACUGACGCUCAUGUGCGUUAAAGUGUGGGUAGCGAACAGGAUUAGAUACCCUGGUAGUCCACACCGUAAACGCUGUCUACUAGCUGUGUGUGAAUUUAAUUCGU
This 198-nucleotide ribosomal RNA is filed under the name uncultured bacterium. RNAcentral's name for it is "partial 16S ribosomal RNA". It matches the Rfam family "Bacterial small subunit ribosomal RNA", at positions 642 to 840 of the family's 1533-position model. The record is from RNAcentral.